CCCCUAGAUGUUCUGGGCCGCACGCGCGCUACACUGAACAGUUCGACAAGUCUUAACCUUGGCCGAUAGGUCUGGGUAAUCUUUGAACGCUGUUCGUGAUUGGGAUAGACCUUUGCAAUUAUGGGUCUUCAACGAGGAAUUCCUAGUAAACGCAAGUCAUCAGCUUGCAUUGAUUACGUCCCUGCCCUUUGUACACACCGCCCGUCGCACCUACCGAUUGAAUGGUCCGGUGAAAUCUCGGGACGGCGGCUUGGUCGCUUGCGUCCGACUGCUGAAACUUGAUUAAACCAUAUCAUUUAGAGGAAGGUGAAGUCGUAACA
Molecule: ribosomal RNA, 320 nt
Filed under: uncultured eukaryote
Lineage: Eukaryota
Description: partial 18S ribosomal RNA
Rfam family: Eukaryotic small subunit ribosomal RNA
Source: RNAcentral